RNAcentral lists this ribosomal RNA (253 nucleotides) under uncultured bacterium. RNAcentral's name for it is "partial 16S ribosomal RNA". It matches the Rfam family "Bacterial small subunit ribosomal RNA", at positions 524 to 776 of the family's 1533-position model. The record is from RNAcentral.
GACGUAGGGUCCGAGCGUUGUCCGGAGUUACUGGGCGUAAAGCGCGUGUAGGCGGUUGUUCAAGUCAGGUGUGAAAGCCUUGAGCUCAACUCAAGAAAUGCACUUGAUACUGGAUGACUAGAGGACCGGAGAGGAUAGUGGAAUUCCCAGUGUAGUGGUGAAAUACGUAGAGAUUGGGAAGAACACCAGUGGCGAAGGCGGCUAUCUGGACGGUUUCUGACGCUAAGACGCGAAAGCGUGGGGAGCAAACAGG